GACGUAGGGCGCGAGCGUUGUCCGGAUUUAUUGGGCGUAAAGAGCUCGUAGGCGGCUUGUCGCGUCGGCUGUGAAAACCCGCGGCUCAACUGUGGGCGGGCAGCUGAUACGGGCAGGCUAGAAUUCGGUAGGGGAGACUGGAAUUCCUGGUGUAGCGGUGAAAUGCGCAGAUAUCAGGAGGAACACCGGUGGCGAAGGCGGGUCUCUGGGCCGAUAUUGACGCUGAGGAGCGAAAGCGUGGGGAGCGAACAGG
RNAcentral lists this ribosomal RNA (253 nucleotides) under uncultured bacterium. RNAcentral describes it as "partial 16S ribosomal RNA". It matches the Rfam family "Bacterial small subunit ribosomal RNA", at positions 524 to 776 of the family's 1533-position model. The record is from RNAcentral.